UUUGGAAAACUCUUGGAGUUGCUCUAGUCCAAUUUUUAGAAGAUAUCAAAACCAAUGGAUUGGAGGAUUUGAUUGCUUUUAGCAAUUGAUUUGAUUGGUAUUAUUUCACAAUAACUCUUUUAAAUUUUUGAACUCAUAAAAAUCACGAGCAGACUCUCCACGCAUUGAGGAUUCUAGCUGGUGAGAUUAUGGUAGUACUCAUUGUAAGAUGGCGGCAAGGGCGAUGGGAUGUCGAGGAAGAUCAUCCAGUCAUGGCCCUAAUCGAUCAAUCGUUAGGCUAUCUACAAUGCCGCCACUUAGGUAGGCGCUCGUGACCGGUUAUUGUUUCCUUCGCCAUUGCGGACGUCUGCUGGGUGCAUUGCUGCUGCAGUGCUGCUUGAUGGAGCAUCGCUGCUCACACAAGAGUGCAAUGGUCGAAGAAUUCUAGCGUGGCGUGUAGAAACUAAUAGUUUGGGCGCGAAGAACACGAGAACCAUAUGUAAAAGUAUUUGAUCCCAUUAUAGGCUAAGAUCAUUGUAUAAUUGCUUCAUGAUUAUUCCUUCUCCUUCAAUAUCUAUUUAGAUAUCACACUAUCACCAAUAUCUUUAUAUAAUAAUUACCUCAUCAUAAUUAUUUCUCCUUCAAUAUCUAUUUAGAUACCAUAUUAUCCUCUAUUAUCUACUAUAGGUUCUGUCAACCCACGAGGUCGCCUUUAUCCAAAAAAAAACAGAGAAAAACUGCGACGUCACUGGACUGCACGCUGCAGCAGCGAAUCCUCGACAUCGUCGACAAGUCCAACCCCCGCGCACCGGCAGCGGCGACGGGCGUGCCCCGCUGUGGGUGGAGGCCGGUCAAGGACACAGGCGACCCCCACAUCGGGGAGCUCGGCAGCUGGGCGGUGGCGGAGCACGCCAGGCGGGCCAACGACGGACUGCGCUUCGGUAAGGUCACGAGCGCCCACGUGCAGAUCGUGGACGGGAUGAACUACAGGCUCUUCCUCGACGCGGCCGACGCCAGCGGGAUCAUGGCGGGUUACGGGGCGGUCGUGUACGAGCAGGAGCGGACCAAGCUCACGUCCUUCGCUCGCGCCGGCGAGAUUACAGGGAAUAACGUGGCCGGGAUGGCCGGCAGGUGCCUGGAGUGACACGACUGGGCAGAGGCGCAGAGUAACUAAGCUGUACUCCGGUCACUGGGAUGUACUUGCGGAUAUGCUCUUGUUGUGGGCUUGUGGCUCGAGCUAACAGAUUCCAACAAGAAGUAUUGGCAAAAUUCUAUUUCGAUAUCUUUAUUUGUGUGGCCGUGGCAUAACAAAUACUAAUAUAUUUUUUUCGACGCUGCAAAUGGCCGUGGCAUCGCACUCGCAUUUUGCUUUUGGCUAGAUGACCAACAAUCUCUUGGGACAUGUCGAAUGGGAUAGCAGAGAACCGCACAAAAAGCAAGACCCCAACCCCAUAUCAGGUUCCUGCAGUCCUGCACCACUGCUAUAAUGCUGUUGCCAUGUCCAAAUAUUCCACAUUCCACACUUAUAUUAACCGAUGCGUGGUGCAUAAGAAAGUGGCCUUGGCCAUUAUCAUAUCCAGGCACUCCCCUAUCACCUUUGGCCGGUCUCGCAUCGCUUCACAAACCUCUCUUGCCAAUGCACAUGCCCGCGCCUAUAUAAACCAAGCAGCCUCUCUCCACCAAUUCUAAGCAAGGCACAACUACUACUCAAAGCAUUUUUCUCUUCAGUUCUUUCACUGAAGAAGAUCGCCUGACCUGCUGCUGACCAAUGGACGGGGUGACGAAGCUGACUUCUCAGCACGCGGUGGUGAUCCUCAGCACGAGCUCCUGCAGUCCUAAGCUAUGCGCGACGCGGUGGCCACCCUGGCGCGGUGGCCACCUUGUUCCGAGAUCUCAGAUCUCGGGGUGAUCCCGACGGUGGUGGAGCUGGACGAGGACCUAUAGAUUUCCAUUUGGCACUAACACGACGGGCCGGUCCGAGCACGACACGAAGAAGCACGGCCCGGCAACGGCCCGGCCUGUGAGCCAUCGUGCCAGUGCCAGGCACGGCACGGCGUUAGUGCCGUGUCUGGACCACCUAUUCAGCCCGUAGUGCCGGCACGGGCACGACACGUUUAAUGGACCGGCCCGCAUAAGGCACGGCUCAAACGGCUAUCAGCCGUCGGAUCCUCCUCCCCCGCUCCAUCCGACCGUUGGCGGGGGCGCGUAUAUAAGCAAGGCCGCAGCACCCGCACCCCCCAUCCCUAACCCUAGCUCAUUUGUGCCGCUCCUCCCUCCCUCUCUCUCUCUCUCUUCGCUCUCUUUCCUCUCUCUUUGGCUCUCAGCUCUCUCCUCUGCAGAGCGACUCUCUGUCUCUCUCCCCGAAUCCCCUCUCUUCUGGCCUUCUCCUCCCCCUCCGGUGGCCUCCGCCGGCACUUGCACACGGCACGGCCAUGUAUACUCCUAUCACCUAUUCUUGAUCUCGCAUUCUCGCUUCGCGUUGCCCUUCUCAUCAUCUCCGUGUCGGCCUUGUCAGGUCUCGGCCCCGCGUCGAUCUCGCCGGAUCCGUAUUAGAACUCGUUGGAUCCGUAGUCAGUCUCGCUGGAUCUGGGCUUCGUCAAUGUCGCCGGCGACUCUGGUGCUCCGGCUAUCAAGGUAGGAAACCCUAACCCUAACCCUUGCUCAAUCGAUCCCUUAUCCCUAACCCUAACUCUUGUUUUUGUGUAGCCGUUGAGGAAACGGGACGCAGGCGUGUGAUGAUGGCCGGAUCCAACGAGGACGAGAUGGUUGAGGGUGGGUCGAACCAAGAGAGGCGGCUUUGUGGGUUGGCUGGAGAUGAUGACGAGGAUGACAUGUGCGAGGACGCCGCGGAGCUCUUCGGCCGUGUGGAUCAAGCUUCCAUCGUCCUCGAGCCCUGCGAUGACCAAGAAGUGGACAGGGACGGGGAAGAGAACAACGGUAAGUGCUCACGCCCCUCUACCUUGGCCGUGUGGCUUGAUUUCAAGAAGCUAUUCAAAAUGGUGAAUGGUAAGAAGGUGAGGUAUGGAGCUAAAUGCAUCCAUUGCUCUAAGGAGUACUCUGGGCGCUCUAGUGGUGGCACUGGUCACCUCACCGCCACAGGGAUAAAUGCCCUAGAAGGCAUGAGAAAACUCACAUGUCUAAGUCACAAAUCUCUUUUAAUCAUGAUGGUAGUAUUCGUAAUUGGGAGUAUUGUCCUAUAGUUGCUCGUACUCAACUUGUUAGACUGCUUGCUAGGCUUGAUGUUCCUGUCUCUUUGGGUGAAUCUUAUGCAUUUGAAGAUUACAUUAGAACUGCUCAUAAUCCUAAAUUUGUUGCAGUAUCUAGGCAAACCACCACUAGAGACAUGCUAAAAUACUUCAAUGAUUGCAAGGCUAAGCUUGUUGAGAUUGUGAAAUCUGCUGGUGUUAAUUGUGUGUGUCUAACCUCUGAUAUUUGGUCUGGUAAUGCCAAAGAGGACUACCUUAGUGUUGUUGCUCACUACAUAAACUCUGAUUGGCAACUAGAGAAGAGAGUGCUUGGUCUUAGGCUGAUUGAUUGUUCACACAAUGGUCAAAAUAUUGCUGAUCAUGUUGCAUCCGUGCUUGAUGACUAUUGUUUGACUGAAAAAGUUUUUGCUGUUACUUUGGACAAUGCAUCAUUUAAUGUUUCAGCCAUGCAAAAGCUUAGACCUGUUAUUUCUAAAUAUCUUGGUAUUGAAGUUGUGGAAGAUGAUAGGGAUGACAAUGCACAUUCAGUUAAUUAUUUGUUCUUGCAUCAGCGUUGUGCAUGCCAUAUUAUCAAUCUGAUUGUUAAGGAGGUUCUAACUGCUCUUAAGCCAUUGAUUGAGAAAUUUAGAAUUGCAAUAUCUUUCUUAAACUCAUAUAAUCAGAGAAUUGCUGCAUAAAAAAGUUAUUGCAUUGCCACUGGUGUUAGGCCUAGAAAGUUUCAGCUAGACAUGGAAGUUAGGUGGAAUUCUACAUAUCUAAUGUUUAAGCAUUUGUUUCCUCAUAAGGUCCCAUUCCCAACUUUCAUCAUUGCUCAAUAUUCUAGGGCUGAAGGUGAUCAGUUGCUUUUAACUGAUGAUAAUUGGGCUAUGGCAGAAAAAGUGCUAAGAUUUCUUGAACUGUUUUAUGAUGCUACAGUUGCAUUGUUUGGUGUGUACUAUCCUACAUCUCCACUUUUGAUUCAUUAUCUUGUUAAGAUUGCUAUGCACUUAAAGAAUUAUGCUAAUGAUACUCACAUCAGACAUGUGGUUCAACCUAUGAUAGAUAAGUAUAACAAAUACUGGAGGGACAUACCUUUGCUUUAUUCUUUUGCAUUCAUCCUAGACCUAGAGCUAAAAUGAAAGGUUUCAAUAGAGUGCUUAGGAGGUUGGGUACCCUUACCAGUACAGAUUACAGUGCUUACCAGGUUAGCACUAGAGCUCGACUUAAUGAUGUCUACAACAAGUAUGAGGAGAAAUAUGGAGGUGUUAGGUUGAGGAGGACUGUACCGCCUAACCUAUCUGGUAAGAAAAGGUCUGCUUGGGAUGAAAUUUAUGAUGAUGAUGAUGAUGAUGGUUCUGCUGGUGGCAUGCAUACUCUAGCUGCUACUCUAAGCAUGGCUAGAGAUACAUCUGCAACUGCCUUUGUCCAGGCUGCAAGUUCUUCAGGUGGUAAUGUUUCUGAACUUAUUUCUUACUUGGACUGUGACACAGUGAACCAUUUAAAAGAUGAUUUUAACAUCUUGGACUGGUGGCAUCAACACAAACUCACAUAUCCAGUGUUGUCAACCAUGGCUAAAGAUGAUUUUAACAUCUUGAACUGGUGGCAUCAACACAAACUCACAUAUCCUAUGCUUGAGUCUGUAAAGACUUCACUGAAAAAUAGUUUUUCGAUGAAGGACUUAGGGGAAGCGGCAUAUAUUCUGGGCAUGAAGAUCAGUAGAGAUAGAUCAAGAAGGCUUAUAGGAUUAAGCCAAGAUACUUACAUUGACAAAGUGUUGAAGCGGUUCAGCAUGGAAGAGGCAAAGAAAGAGUUCUUGCCUAUGUCACAUGGCAUACAUCUCAGCAAGACUCAGUGUCCUUCGACUGCUGAUGAGCGGGAUCGCAUGAGUAGAGUGACAUAUGCCUCGGCUAUUGGAUCUAUCAUGUAUGCAAUGAUAAGUACUCACCUAGAUGUUUCAUAUGCGCUAAGUAUGACAAGCAGACACCAGUCUGAUCCAGGUGAGAGUCACUGGACAGCGGUGAAAAACAUUCUUAAGUACUUGAGAAGGACUAAAGAUAUGUUCCUCGUCUAUGGAGGUGAGGAGGAGCUCGUUGUAACAGGUUACACCGAUGCUAGUUUCCAAACCAACAGAGAUGAUUCAAAGUCACAAUCAGGAUUUGUGUUCACGCUAAAUGGUGGUGCUGUUAGUUAGAAGAGUUCCAAGCAUGAGACGGUGGCCGAUUCUACGACAGAAGCCGAGUACAUCGUGGCUUCGGAAGCCGCGAAGGAGGGUGUUUGGAUAAGGAAUUUCCUCAUUGAGCUUGGUGUGUUUCCGAAUGUGUCCAGCCCAUUGAAUCUCUACUGUGAUAACAAUGGGGCAAUUGCGCAAGCAAAGCAGCCAAGGAACCACCAGAAGAACAAACACGUAAUGCGGCGAUUUCAUCUCAUUCAAGACUUCGUUAACCGGGGUGAGAUGAUAUGCAAAAUACACACGGAUCUGAACAUUUCUGAUCCGUUGACAAAACCACUCCCGCAGGCUAAGCAUGAUGCGCAUGUAAGAGCUAUGGGUAUUAGGUACCUUCUAGAUUAACUCUAGCGCAAGUGGGAGACUGUUGGAGGUAUGCCCUAGAGGCAAUCAUAGAGAUUAUGAUAUUCCAUUUGUAUCCAUGAUUUAUAUUGUGUUUCUUGAAUAUCCAUUAAAGGCUACUUGAAUUGAUUUGCAAUUAUGUGAAUUGUGUGUGAAAUUCUUUACUUGUAUGGUUAUUCUAAAGUUGUCCUUAGUCGGAGUUCAUGUGAGGACACACAUGAAUAUUAGACUAGCACAUGUAUUAGUUGAUGACUAUGUUUCACAAGUCAUGGACAUGGAGAUGUUGAACUAAUAAUGUGGGCACAUGUGGAGACAUGUGCUAGGACUGACCCAACACGAGAAGUAGUUCUCUCUUUAAACAACAUAUACGCUUUGUCCUUAGACCUGAGAUUGUCGCAUGUAUUCAAGAUGUGGAUCGACCUACUUAGGGGCUAUCAAACGCUACGCCGUAACAGGGUAGUUAUAAAGGUAGCUUUCGGGUUUGUCAAGAAGCAUGCUAUGAGACAUGGUCAAUCAAGAUGGGAUUUGCCCCUCUCUGAUUGAGAGUGAUAUCUCUGGGCCCCUCGAGUGAUCGGAUCCGAAAAUGCAUGGCCAUGCUACGUACGAUUAAGAGUUAACCUACAAAAAGAUUCCGAAUCACAGGAUCGAGAAAGAGCGGUCGGCUUGAAGCUAGACCAAAUACCAUGAGGCAAAGGGAAUAGCAUGUAUAUAAUGUUGUGAUGGUUCGUCUGAUAUGAUCUUCGUGUGCAUAUAGGAGUUGGCACGUCUUGCUAGAGGCCGCUACCGACUAUUGGACCGAGUAGGAGUACUCGGGCCAUGUCUAUACGUAUCCGAACCCAUAGGGUCACACACAUCCAGCCCAAUUCGGAUGUGAUCCGAGUUGGAUUAGGUUUAGAAGUACUAAUAGGCCUCGGACCCAGAGGCCCGUUAGGAACUUCUAUAAAUAGAGGGGUGGGGGCGCCCUAGGGUUUACGCCUUUUUGGCGAAACACAUCUGCCGCGCCUCCCACGCCCUCACCUGUUGCAACUCACGGAUCUAGCAGUCCGGCUUGCGACGCUUCCUCCCUGCACGUGUGGAUACCUUGGAGGUGUUGCGCCUGCAGCACUUGGAUGAGCCGCCGACGAGCCACGACGAGCUGCCGACGAGCCACGACGAGCCGACGACGAGCCGCGGCACGAGGGCGAUCUUGCUGCACGUGGACGAGCUGCUGAGGAGCUGCUGGACGUCGACGUAAUCGACUACGUACGACUACGCUGAUCGACUUCGCUGCAUCGACGCGAAUCUACAUCUUCCGCACUAGUGCGUCGAGUGGUAAUCCCGUGAUCCUUAUACGACAGUUUUCCUGUUUUACGCGGUAGAAAAUUUUGAUUUGCGCUAGUGUAGCCUACCUCGUAUCCCAACACCACUGUGGAAGAUCAAGGUGACCUCGUUGUUGAUUCUUGACCCCCCGCCCCCACCGCCUAGUUUCGAGGCGACUGCCGAUGUGGAAUGUCUCCCAGGUGCCUGCCACGCCCGACUCAGAGCUGCAACAUUCCUUUGCGGACGUCGUAAGGUCCUCCCCCAUGUGCUCGGCCGCAUCUUUCACCUCCACCGAUGACCCGCUGCAGCCUCCAACCAGGCCGCGCCUGAAGUCUACCACAACUGUGCCAGCACGGAACAAUUACUUCAUCGCUGACACCACGUCACCUUAGCACUACCGCCACUCCCUAGCACGAGCAACUCGACACCACUACAUCUCCUCGAGUGGUCAUGCCUCUGCUUCGGCCCUGCAAGCCUUCCGCUCCAAGACUAAUGGUAGGUGUUUCGUGUGCCUAGCUCCCGACCAUUGGGCUGCCUCAUGCAAAGAACCUGUUUGAUGCUUCAGGUGCCUCUGCUCUGACUACAGUGUGCGUGAUUGCAAGGUGCCCGACCGUUGUCGGGCGGUACGGACCAGGCGCCCUUGCAAGGGUGGCAACAUGAUAAGGACCACGAUCACAAUAGACAGCACAGAGGAGGCCGUCAGGGUUAUGACGUCAGCAAGAAUCUAGAUAGCAAUAAAGUGUACCACGAGCCGGAGCGCUCGCCUCAUCGUUGGGAUCAUGAUCGCAGGUCUGGUAACUUGAAGGACAAUCAGGCUCAACAAUCACCUCUCCCCUCUCAGCGUGAGUUUCUAUGUCAGGAAGGGAAUGCACUGUAGUGCCUCAUCGUGAUGCAGACAAAGGCACUCCAAGACGCUACACAAAAGCUGCUCAACCUGCUGCUCCUUCCCAAUACGAAGAUGGCUGCGAUGUCAGUUGAGGAACUUCUGUGCGACUACAUCGACAAAGCUUCUCGUUGGCUACAAAGCUGGGGGUGCUCGAGGCGCCGGGAGGGAAUACUGAUGGCUCCAUUCCGACACGUGAACAAGCAAGGAAGAGUAGACUGGCUCCGAUUUCGAUUCCAGUGAGCAAGGUGUUCGCCUGCCUCAACCCUUCCAUCCAAGCUCCACCCCAAGUUCAAGAGACUAAGGACAACUCCAUCACAGUCAUGGAGCAGGCCCUGAGGCACAUAGAGUUGGCGACGACAGUGGAUGCCUCAUACUAGGGACCACUUCCAACCUCUCCGAUUGGCAACACAGGUACCCCAUCGACUGGUCUUGGGGAUGUUGCGAGCUAGCACUCCGACACGGAAGACGGCGCCACUCGGGAUGCUAUGGACAGCCAAGCCGCAGGUGGCAUGGCCACCCUACCCUCUUCGUGACUCCGACCCAGCCAUUGUUGCAGCAGCCUGCUGCCCAGGUGACACAGCACCAUCGCUAGCUCCUUGCCGAUGCCGGCGAUGCACUUUUGACAUGUUAUCGGUACGACGCAGUGCGCGUCUCUCCACUGUACGUCUAAUGACUCAAAUGUAGCAAGCGCAACGUGACCUUUGUCGCAAGCUUGGUAUUUUAAAGGAUGAGGCUGCUCCAAUUCAGGUUGCGCUGCAAGAGUUUGUUGACAUGUUCAAUGGGCCCCUACCAGUGGAUGUGAUGCUGCUCUGAAUGAGAUGUUCAACCUCAACGACGACGAGGUCGAGGCGAUGGACCAUGCCCUAAUCAGCAUGGUUGGUGAAGGUGUCGAUGACCUACUAGAUGCAAUAGUACAUGAACCUGUUUGAGGUGAGUCUCCAUCUGGUGACAGAUGUAACAGUCAAGUAGCGGCCAACGAUGAUGUUGAGUUGCGGAGUUUGCGAGGAUUGUGUGGUGCCUAAUGUUUGGAAUAUUAGCUUGAUGUUUGGGGUGUGUUGGGUGGUGCAAUGUGUUUGUUGAGAUGCUUAGUGUUUGAUUGUUGUUUUCUCCAUUUUCUUGUAUUGAUCAAUCUGAUCGACAGCUCUCGUGCGUAGUUGGUUAAAAAAUAUAGAUAUUGUAGGCAGCAGGCCAGCAGGGCAGAAGUCAGCGCUUGGUUAAAAAAAAUAGAUAUUGUAGGCAGCAGGCCAGCAGGGCUGAAGUCAGCGCUCAGCACUGCAUCUGCGACAAAAUCCAAACCCCGCCGAAUCGCCUGAUAGAGACAAUACUACGAAGAUAGAUAUGAGAGAUGCGGGACAGCAGGAGGGUCGGACGGCCGAAACCAGGGGCUCUUCCAGAUGUCCUUGCUGACCCCGUGACGCCAUCCUCGUCGAUUUCGGCUCGUCCCCUCGUUAAAUUCCAGCGUCCCGCUUGGACCCAGCAUGUCCUCCACCUCGCAACGCAAAGCCACAACCAAAACCCUCCCGAACCAUGUCCGCGCCAGCUCUCCGCCUAGCCGCGUUGCUGCUCGCCACCGUCGCGAUCGCCGCCGCGCCGGCCGCGGCGGCGCGCGCGGGGCCGCGGCUCGCCGGCGGGUGGGGCCCGAUCAAGGACGUGAGCGACCCGCACAUCCAGGAGCUCGGCGGCUGGGCGGUGGCGGAGCACGCCAGGCGGGCUAACGACGGACUCCGGUUCGGCGGGGUGUCCCGCGGCGAGGAGCAGGUGGUGUCCGGGAUGAACUACAACCUCGUCCUCGACGCGACGGACGCCAACGGGGCGACCGCGGCGUACGGGGCGUUCGUGUACGAGCAGGUGUGGACCAACACCCGGGAGCUCAUGUCCUUCGCGGCGCUGAACUGACCAGGAACGUAAACGGCGGCCGGCAUGCAGUAGCUUGGAGGCUUGGAGCUUGCUGCUGGUUGGGUUAGAGCAACUAUGACCUCCGAUCCGAGCUUGGAGAUAUGGCUUGUAGUAAUAAUCUCGUGGGUCUCAAAGACCUCAAAUAAGCCAUGUUGGCAUCUUGCUACAUCGAUCUCUUUAUUUUGUGUGCGUAAGAGCAACUCCAAGAGUAUCCUAAAAUUUUUUUCCCUAAAACUAUGUAUUGGGGGUUCUCCUAAAAAAUUUUUUCCCCAAAAACGUAUCAAUCUACAGCAGAUCGCUAAUAAAUUGUCUCUAAUAUUUCAAAACAGGCCACGCCAUCGUAUUGGGCCCAUCAGAAGGGACACGCGGGUGUGCGAGAAUCAGGAUUGGGGGAGAAACGCCAACGCUAAAAUAUACGCGGUGGCAGGCUGUUUUUUAGCGUCGCUAUACAUAGUUUUGGGGAAGAAUUUUUUAGGAUACUCUUGGAGUUCAAGGGAAUAAGCCAUUUUCUUUUUUCUUGCAAAAAGAUAUGUUUCCUGGUUUGUGCUGCAAAUAGUCUAGCGCCUUCAGUACGCCUAUAAACUUUCAAAAUAUAAUUUAGUAGAGGUAAUUACCACCGUAGCUAGGUUCAAACUCAAGUGCCGAAGUUUUUACUUUGCCAAUGUAAAGUGCGGCAUGCGUGGUAUUUCAACGAGCGUGGUGGUGACAUGAUAGCCCGAAGACGUGCAAUUUUGCCAAGUAGUGCAUGCAACUUUGGCCUUCGGGUGCUACGCGCGGUAGCGAUGCACAUAAAAGAUUUUUCAACAAAUUAAAGCUGAGACGAAUAGAUAAAUGCUUGUAAAUUUUGAGUUUGAACUAGAAUUUGUGCAACAGGAAACAAAAUCCUAUCAUCGUUCAUCUAUGCCAUGUGUUUUAGUUCUCAUUCUUACUUUCACAUAUGGCUAGCAGGUUGUCAUGAGCAGGUCUUGAACCUUGUAAUAGGAAUAGGAGUGGGUAUAUGCUACCCUUGUUAUUUGCAAUAAUUGUAGUCAUCAUUUAUCUCCAUCAUGCAAUUGAGUUCUCGUUGUUACUUUCACAUAUGCCCAACAACCUUUGUUAUUUGCGAUUGUAGUCGUAUUCUUCGUGGAGAAACUUGUAUUCCUCUCCUCAGUAGUUAUUCACCCCCAUCAACUUGCUCCUGCCGGUGGCUCGCCAAGCACCAGCCUCUCGUCCUCUCUCAGUCUGCAAUCUCUUCAGUCUUCAUCAUGCUGCUGGUGUUCUCAUCUCCACCGUGUAAUGCUAAGGGGGUAUUUAGAAGGAGGGGGCUAAACUUUAGCCGUAUCACAUCGGAUGUUCGGAUGGAGGACUAAACCUAGAGUAAUUACAAAACUAAUUGCAGAAUCCCUAGGCUAAAUCGCGAGACGAAUCUAUUAAGCCUAAUUAAUCCAUCAUUAGUGAAUGGUUACUGUAGCACCACAUUGUCAAAUCAUGGACCAAUUAGAGCCUAAUAGAUUCGUCUCGCAAUUUAGCUUAGGGGUUGUGUAAUUAGUUUUGUAAUUAGUCUAGGAUUAAUACUCCUAAUUAGUGUCCAAACAUUCGAUGUGACGGGGGCUAAAAUUUAGCCCCCUCCUCCCAAACACCCCUAAAUACUAAUACAGAUGUUCCCAGCAAAAUAUGGAAUAAAACUGAGGGUGCAUCAGCUUUUAUCUUACGAGCCUGGUAAAGCUAAUCAACGUUUAAUUUUGCCUCCGAAUCGGUCUAUGUGCUUCAUCCGUGUGCCGGUUGUGACUUUUGUGGCUAGCAGUGAAAAAAAAAAGACUUCUGUGGCGAGGCCACGCAAACAUCAUUGGUGUGGACGGUGGGGCAACGGCGCGCACCCUGGUUUCCGCGUGCGACCGUGCGAGAGCAUGUGGCACGAGUACGACGGGCGUCACGGGAAUCCCCCCACCCCUCCGCCCCCGUCGCCUCGUCACACGGUUUUCAGGGAAAAAAAAUAUCCUUUUCCUUAACGAGAAGGAAGGCUCGGUUUAAAUGCCGUGCCCCCCAACCGUCUUCGACGCCAAGCAAAGCAGUCACGUCUCCCAGAUCUCCCCACCGUUGCCCCCCCUCUCGACCCAAUCCCAAGCCCCCACCCAAUCCGGCCAUGGCGAGGCGCAUCCUCCUCCUCAUCCCCCUCCUCGUCGCCCUCGCCGCCGCCGCCACCGUCCCCGCCCGCGCGGCGCUCGGCGGUGGCGGGGGCGGGCGCGGCCCGCUGGCGGGCGGGUGGAGCGCGAUCCAGAACGUGAGCGACCCGCACAUCCAGGAGCUGGGCGGGUGGGCGCUGGGGCAGGCGAAGGAGAAGCAGCUGGCCGGCGCCGGGCUGCGGUUCCGCCGCGUGGUGCGCGGGGAGCAGCAGGUGGUGUCCGGGAUGAACUACCGCCUCUACGUCGACGUCGCGGACGCGGGGGGCCGGAGCGCGCCCUACGUGGCCGUCGUGUACGAGCAGCUCUGGACCAGCACCCGCGAGCUCACCUCCUUCAACAAGGCGCGCCGCGCCCACUGAGUCACCGCUCGUCCAUGGUCCAUUCCGGCGGCCCGCCGCGGACCGGCACGGCGGCCGGCGACGACGGCGUCAGUGCCCUUCUCUCCUCUCCUCCCGGAUAAUUAUAUCUAGCUAAUACUAUUACUAGCGGUAUAUGUUGCGAGCGAGUAAGCGCUGCGUUUUUACUACUGGUUGUUGUGGGGUUAAUCUGUGCGAGUCAGCGGUGUGGAUGAACUAUGUGCUACAACUUCUACCAGUACUAGAGUAUAAUGAUGUAAUUAAUGGUUUGUGCCUGUCUUGACUCUUGCGUUAAGGGAGCUAUUAUUGUAGUUGUUGUACUCCUACCACGGUGUCCGUCUGUAGCUAGGAGAUAGGGGUUUCACGUGCCAGUGUCUGCGAGACUGCGACUCUGCGUGCUCGCCUUCACUGGUGUUUCUGGAACGGUAGCAGGGCGCGUGAAGCCCCCGUGACCGGAUAUGAACAUGCUUGCAUGCUGAUAGUGUCAAACAGCUGGAGCGAUUUGGAUGUUGCAGUCGACACCUUGCGUGCCUUCGUGAUCUCCUAGUAUGAGAUUGUAGUGCGUCGACCUCUGUUCUUUUUUCUAUUUUGUUUCUCUUUGGCGCUUGCGAUGAGGUCCUCUAGUCCUUGCCGGUUGGCCGCGGUAGCCCACGGAUGGAUCGGAGCAGGCGUGGUGCAGAAUUGACUUGCGAGGCGCUGGGUGGCUUGGCGUCUUUUUGUCGUUUGGACAGAUGCGAUCCGAUUCAGCAAAUGGAUCGGGGUUCAAAGUCGCUCACACUCAUCUCCAACAGAUCAUUUAUUUUUUCUCUCCAUUUGAUUUUUUUAUCAAGUUGGUAAAAUGAUUUCUCUCCGUAUUGAGUUUCUCGUUCCAACGGACUAUCCAUUUCUCACUCUUCAAAUCCCAACAGUUGCGUUCCUUUCUAAAAAUAUACACUCUCCAUCCACUCCAAUAGUCUCUUCAUUUCGCACUACAACAACCUCUCCAUUUUUUGCACUCUUCAUUCUAGCAAUUACUGCGUGUGGGAUCCACAAUUUGUCAAGGCAAUUGACUUGUCAAAGGCUUGUCAAGUUUGACACGUGUGAGGGGAAAGUAGCAAGUUGGAUGGGAUGGGGAGUCAGAUAGCAACUCUGUUGGACCAUAAUUUUCUUCUUAACUUUCAAAUUUUAGCUUGGUAAGUUGAAUAACAACUUUCUCGGAGUUGCUCCCACAUGCAGGCCACACCAUGGUAGGUUCCAAACAAGUUGCUUAACGGCUUUCGGGCCGUCGCUCGAGCCGGCAUCAGCACAAUUUUUGGGAUGAUAGUUAGAAAAUCUUCACUGAUGUUCCUUGAACAGUACGAGGGCGCGUGAACGGAUAUGCAUAGCUCAUGCAUGCAUGGUGCGGACUUGAUCACUCAAGUGUCAAACAGCUGGAGCGAGUUUGAUGUUGCAUUGGACUCCUUGCGUGCGCUUUCGUAGUCUGGAGACUGUUUGUGCGCCUACGGAUCGCGUAGGCGCGGCGCAGAAUUUAACGGGUUACUCGGGCUAAACUUUAAUCCCUAUUGCAUCGAAUGUUUAGAUACUAAUUAGGAGUAUUAAAUAUAGAUUAUUUAAAAAAUCCAUUGCAUAGAUAGAGGCUAAACGGCGACACGAAUUUAUUAAGCCUAAUUAGUCCAUGAUUUGACAAUGUGCUGCUACAAUAACUAUUUGCUAAUGAUAGAUUAAUUAGCCUUAAUAGAUUCCUCUCGCCGUUUGGCCUCCAUAUGUGUAAUUAGUUUUAUAAUUAACUCAUAUUUAGUCCUCCUAAUUAGCCUUCGAAUAUUCAAUGUGACACGGACUAAACAUUAGCUUCAGGAUCAAAAACCCCCUUAGGCAGUCCCAACCCAAUUCCAUAUAGUUGCCAAAUCAGCGGGACCUGAACCCUAAACUGCACCGCAUAAUGCAUGAUUUCUAUAGGUGGAUCCAUGAUAAAUUACAUCAAAUCCGAACGGCAACGACGGCAAGCGGCGGGCGGCCACGGGGCCGUGGGCAGCGUCGACCUUGCGCAGGCGGCAGCGGCCCAGGGUGAGCUCGCGCAUAGUGGCAGCAACGGGGCUGGGGGCGGAAUCAAGCAUGUGUGCGCGACGUCUGGUUGUGGAGGUGUUGUGGCGAGCGAGGUUGACUGCCGCUUACUCUGUUUGGUUGCGUGUUAAUUCAUAGUUUUGGGAUGUCCGUGAGCUUGUGUUGACUAGAAUUUUGUUGAUUUUUCGUGCUUGGGAGUUCUUGGAUUGGAUGGAUUUGGUGCUCUUGCUUGUUGCGGGUGGAUUCGAGGAGAAGUUCGUUUGCCUGCUUGUUGCUCGGGCGUGGCGGCCGCAGCCAAGUGCGGGCGGUGGGGCCUUCCGUGGUCCGCAACGAGCCAGCGGGCGACGGUGGCGAGCUGCAGCAGCACGGAUCCGUCGUGGGGCUGCAGGGCGCGGACACGGCGGUGCUGCCAGCGCGUAUGCACGGCGGUGUGGCAGUAGGCAGGACGGGGUCUUGCAAGCUUCGGUGAGGGCCAAUGACGGCUGGGUGGCUCGCCGCGGACAUGGCGGCGGGGCUUCGCGCGCGGACGCGGCAGCGGCAAGGGCUGGGUUGAGGGGCGGCGCGCGAGCUCCACCGAUGGAAAUGGGGUGCUCGCCCCCAACGCCAAAAUAGCAAUUUCUUUGUUCCUCGUCGCGGGUGUAGACGUAGGGGGCGAUUGGUAGCAUGGUUCCUGCCUGCACCGUAUCCCCAGAUGCAGCAUCUUUGUCUUUUCUCAUGUUUGGUAGCCUGUAAGCCAUACAUACAUGUAUCCCACGAUGAAAAAAAGGUGCACCGCGUGGAACGGAAAUUUCCUUCGUUCCAUGCGAGCCUGGCUCGCUCUAGCGCCGAGGGAGAGGUUACACUCACCUCCCGUGACCAAAUGUUCUUCCCCAAAUCUUUUUUGCCCAUGCUCUUCUUCUUCCUGUCCGCGCAGGUCUGCCAGCAAGCGGGGGCGACCCUCCUCCCCAUGAACAACGAACAACGAGAACGCGAUGAGGCCUAGAGCGGCGGAGGUGAACGAGAACGCGAGCCCAAGUGUCCUGUGCCGGCAUGAGCCGCAUCGCUGCAGAAGAAGAAGGUGAUGUGAGUGGAAUGUCGGUCCAAGCCACCCACUCUCACGGUCGCGUUGCAAGUUCGCUCCGUGCUCACGGGAGGUGAGGAGCUUGGGUGUAGGGGACGACGUUCUUGGUGUCGAAGGCGAGGAGGCCCUGCGUGGUGGCGACGUGCACAUUGUCGCAGCGCAGAUGCGUGGCCUGCGCGGUGAGGUUGUCAAGGUGGCGUUGUGAUUACUUAAGCAAGAAAUGGAGCUUCUUGUGAAGCAAUCGCUUUGAUUUCUCAAGCAAGAAAUGGAGCCUCUUGUGAAGCAAUGGCUUUGAUUUCUCAAGAAAGCAAGAAUCAAGCAAGCAGCUGGCUGAUGAGAAAUAGAGCUUCUUGUGAAGCGGCUUGCUCGCGGCUUGCUCACCAGCGCCGGCGACAAUGACUUUGACAAUAGGUUGGUCAGCGUGCUCAUGGCCGCACACCGCUGCGUGAGCUCGAAUUGUCGUACGAGGCGCUACCCUUCAACGCAGCGAAUUCUGAUGUGAUGUGAUCACAUAUUCUUAUCUCAAAGGAGUAUCGAUUGAUGAAUUUCUCCGCCUGUUGGUUGGAAUCUUGGGAUGGAGUUGGUUGACUUGAUGGUGUCCUCCUUGUGCUCGUGCAAAUGCCUGUGAAGGAGCUAGCAUCUGUUAUUAUGUGUACUCCUUGAUUACUAUGCGUCCGUGUUGUAGAUUGUGAGUAGAGUAAUGACUUGAUCUGAGAUUCAGCGGGAAAAGUAAAGAUAAAAUUGAGAAAAGGGGAGCAUGGCAUGAACAUAUGGUGGUAAAGCUACCAUGCCUAAGUGCAAGGUAAGCAUAUCAUCUUCAUGCAGGCUACCAAUCAUAGUCUAGACAUAGCCUGGCUAACUUAAUCAGCCUACCAAACAAGACCAUACAAAAAGAUGAUGCACCUCCUUAGCCUGGCUCAAGAGGGCCUGUCUCUACGGUACGGGCCAGGCCAACCUCAUCAGGCUGCCAAAGACCUGGGCCUGUCCCGGUGGAUGCAAAAGAGCACGCUCAGUCUGGCUCCCGGGAAACGAGUUUCAUUUCCGUUUCCCGCGAGCUUGGCUCACUGCAUGCGAGUUGGCUUACAGCUAAUGACGGUACCGUCAUUAGUACGUGGUUAGUAUGUAUUAGGUAAUAUUAGUGUUUUCUAAAGUUCAUUAAAACCUGAUAAUGUAAACUAAGAGGUAUUAUAAUAUAUUUAUGCAAAAUAAAUAUUAUUAUGACACUUGUCUUGAAUUUUUUCAUCUCAUACGAUGUUUCUCGUGCGAGCAACCAAACAUAUUCUAUCUACAGCCUGGGUGGAUGCAUACAAGCAACCAAUCAAACUGUUGUUGCAUCCACUGAACCUAGCUCCCAUAUACGAGCCAGGCCAUGCUCAGCGGGAAACCAAAAGCCCUAUAGUUUCUCAUGUAGGAAAUCGUUUCCUUCUCUCUCCUCCUUAACUCUCUUGCCAUUUCACCAAAAUGCUUAUGUGGUAGUUUCAUAAAUGCUAUAGAAAUUAUCUUACUAGGAGGGUUGGAACUGCCCUUACGGGCCAGUAGUUGCUUGCGGUCUUUGUUGUUUGGACAGAUGCGAAUAUGCGAUCCAUCAGCCUCUGAAAAUGGCAGAAAACUGUACGUAGAGAUGUAUAGUUUUUUUUAAAUUAAAGGUAGGAGCACUAUCAUGUCAUUUGAGAAGGAUCAGAAGUUUCAAGCUUACAAAGGUUUGAUUACAUAGAAAUCUAGAGAACUUAACACUCGAACCACUAAGCAAUACAUAAUUAAACUACGAUACACAUGGGCUGCCGCAAGCUUGACGCCGCAGCUCCAUCUCUUCGAUGACGAGGGACUUGACCUGCAGCGGCAAGGCAGCCACCCCCUCGAAGCUUCGCAUGUUUCUAUCCUUUCAAAUAUUCCAAGCCGUGUAGCAUCAACGGUAAAAGCUCAAAUAGCAGUAAGGGUGGGACCCACUGAGAAGAGGCUUUUGCUAUUUCUAUACGCACAAUGGGUAUGGUGGAACAUAGCAUUAAGGUGGGGCCUAGGUUCCAAUAAAAGUUCCACCUUAACUUCCCUUCGCUUCCUGUGUUCCUAUUCCCGUACGUCCAUUUGCAUGUUGGAGAGAGAAUGAACGUGACAGAGGGGACAGAUUCUUAAUCUUUUUAUCCUCUUAGGGUGGACCAUAAGCGGAUCUGUUCGCUUCAGCUUAUAAGCCGGCUGAAAAGCUGAAACGGCUGAUUUGUUAUGAGAGGAAAAUACUGUUUGGUGGCUAAUAAGCCAGUUGAAUAAGCUGAAGGAAACAGGCCGAGCGCCUUUAGCUUUUACUAUGACCUGCUCCACAAUGGUAGUGGUGCACCACAAGAGCUUAUUGCUACUCUUAUGUUCUCCAUUGUGGCUGCCCUUAGUGCUGCAGCCUUGAGCCUCCUCCGAUCUUUCGGCAGUGACCUAAGGGAAGUUCUCCACCAACCCUCGAUGCUAAUGUUUGCUGCCGGUACCUGCACAAGGUUGCCACUCCAUACUCUGAUACAGUUCCAAACCUGUAGCGCGAAAGGACAGUGCAGGUAGAGGUGUUCAGCGGUCUCUGGUUGAGCAUUGCACAUUACGCAUGUUAGGUUACAGGGCCAAUGUCGCGCGGCUAACUUGUCAGCUGUAAGCAGUUUACUUUGGACAAGAAGCCAGGCGAAGAAUCUGUGCUUGCCCUCCGAUUGCGCUGACCAAAUUGAUGAACCAUCAAAGGAGGAGUAGGAUCCUUGGAACUGAAUGGAGUACGCUAAUUUGGCGCUGUAUUCUCCAGUUGCUGUCCACCUCCAUGAGAUUUCAUCGGGCGCAGCAGUGAACUGAAUAUCCUGAACAAGAUCCCAAAGCUGAGGGCCUUUUUAGCUCCAGGGUGUUAAAGUUUAACACCCAUCACAUCGGAUGUUUGGAUGCUAAUUAGGAGUAUUAAACAUAGGUUAAUUACAAAACUAAUUGCACAGAUGGAGUGUAAUUUACGAGACGAAUCUAUUAAGCCUAAUUAGUCCAUGAUUAGUUAAUCCAUCAUUAGCAAAUGGUUACUGUAGCACCACAUUGUCAAAUCAUGGAACUGCAACUUAAGCACAGGGUUCUGCAAUUAGUUUUAUAAUUAGCUCAUGUUUAGUUCUUCUAAUUAGCAUCUAAACAUCCGAUGUGACACUGUUAAAGUUUAGCCCAUCGUAUCCAAACACCCCUGAAUGUAUGGAUUGUGGGCAGCAUAUCUGUGGAUCGGAUCUGGAUCGGGUGCAGUGAUAACUGUUACUGCAACUUAAGCAGUAUCACCAACAUCUGCCGUCCAACAACCACUCAACGCUCCGGAUUGAAUGUCCUUCUCAAGACUCUUCCUCCUCCUCCAUCCACUGCAUCCAUCCUAUGGCGAUUUGUCUGUCUCAGUCCAUACACAGCACCAAAACGAAAUCAAUCUAAGAAGCCAUGGGUAAGAGAGAGGAUGUAUGAGCAGCUUGGCUAAAACUCUCUACUCCACGUACAGAUUCUUCUUCUUCUCGCCUCCAUGAACCAAUUCUUGUUUGUUUCUCUAUUGACUUAAAUCAGAAAACAAGAAACAAAAAAGAGACAAAGAAACGUUACAAGAACAAGAACACCGUCUCCUGUUACAUGCAUUCAUUUCAUUGGCUGCUCAAAUCCAUCGGAUCACCAAGCCAUUCUCAUCAGCUUAGCUUCCUCAGAAGUCAAAAUGGCAUAAUUUUGGUGGUCUUGAAGUCCUACCCAGCGAGGCAGUUCUUGCCGCUCAUCCUGUAAAACUUAAGCACCUCCAGCACCAUCUGCCUCACCGCCGGAGAGCACCAGCUUUGCAUCAGCAGCAGCAGCAGCCUCGUCAGCCCGCCCUCCUCCGUCGCCUGGUGGUCUCGGUACCGGUGGCAGACCGACUAGAGCACGGCCUCCGCGCCGUCGCGCCCGGCCUUCAAUCAUCUUGCCCACCACUACUGGGACGUCCUCGCACAGCGCGGCACGGCCCUUGGUGCACCCGACCGCGAACUCGAGGAUCCAAACUCCAAAGCGUCUUUUUUGCGAACUCGGUGAACGGAGGAAGAAGAUGAACGGAGGAAGAAGAAGAGUCUGCUUAAGUUGCAGUAACAGUUAUGAUAGUGUGCGGCUGGGCGCGUAUAUUGCACUACUCACACUCUAGUCUAGCGUCAAACAGCUGGAGCGGUUUGGAAUUUGGGUGCUGUGAACGCUUUUUUUUCUUUCCAAGUGAUGACGAAAGUCCGUCAAAGGGGGGCACGAACGUUUAUUUCUACGUGCGCAUCCUUUUUUUGCUACCACGGUUGGAGUUGGCGCGGCGCAGAGUCGACUUGCAAGCCGUGCUAGCCCGUUUUGGACGAAGGCAUACGAUGGGAUCAGUCUCGGUCUCGCCACGGGGUUGCCGCGGGGUCGUGCUCCGUCCUGUGCCGGGCCCGGGCGCGCACGAGGGCACGGUUCAGGCGGUUGGCAUUUUUCAAUUUUCAGACACAGUUCAAGAUCAGGGCGUCAGGUUGAGAGCCUAGAGUACGGUUCUGCUUGCAUCGGAGUACGCGCCUGGAGUUGCUAAAUUUUGUAGCUAACAGUUUGUGGUAGGACGACGAAAAAUUAUAGUUUAGUUUUUAACGAACAGAAUAAGAGAAUUUUAGACCUUGUUUAGUUACCAAAAUUGGGAGUGCCAAAAUUAUUGUGCUGGCACUGUAGCACACUGUAGCGUUUCGUUUGUAUUUGUGAAUUAUUGUCCAAACAUUGACUAAUUAGGCUCAAAAGAUUCGUCUCGCAAAGUAUAACAAAACUGUGCAAUUAGUUUUUAAUUUCAUCUAUAUUUAGUACUCCAUGCAUGUACCGCAAGUUUGAUGUGAUGGGAAAUCUUCUUUUUGCAUAGUGAUAAAGUUAGGAGUUGGGAGUGAAGUAAACAAGGGCUUAGUGUAGUGCGUACAAUCUCUUCUUUUGGCUACGUGCAUGAGUGCAUGUUUUGGGUCUCUCUUGUUUCAGUAGGCAUACGUUUGAGUGAAGAUGCCCUUUUCAACAGAAUGUGUACAAUUAAGGUCCCGUUUGUCUGCAAGAAUCCGUUUCUUCCAAGAAUCAUUAGAAUUCAUUUUUUUGAAGCGUUUCAAAUUAGAAAUGGGAGAAACGUUUCACUUUUUUACACUAUAUGGGAGAAACUAGCAAAAAGAUUCAGUUCCCUCUCAUUUUAACUAUCAUCUCAGAAUCUAUCGAGUGAGCCAAAUGAUUUUAGUGAUUCAUUGAAGAUUCAAGGUAGAAACUGAAUUUGAAAUAUUUCUAGAUGAAUCCGGAACCGCACCAAACGGGACCUAAGCAGUGCAGCGUAAAAAGAAAAUGUUUUGCAAUUUAUGGGCGAAUCAACGCGGGUACAUAAAAGUGGAGUAAACGGCAGCGUAUCUGUGAUCAGAAAGCAACGCCACAAAUGGGAUGAAAAAUGCAUUAAUUCAUAAUACAAAUUGAAGCAAUAGUAAAAGGCCUAACGUAAAAGGCCCAGUUGGUUAGAACGCGAGGAGGAAGGCAGAUGGGCCUAGCCCAAUUGAUUAGCACUCGGCCACACGCACGUGCUGGGAAGCAACUUGAAUUGAAGAUCGAUCGAGUUUUGAUUUUUGAAAUGGACAGGACAUGUUUUGAACUCAUGUCAUGAUAAGAUUUUCUUUCGAAAGGAAAAUGUUAUAUUAAAAUCGAGCACAAUACAUUCAUUAUAUCCCUUUUUGAACUCAUGUCAUGAUAUGAUUCGAGUCAGACAUAAAUGGAACGUUGUCUCCGUAGAUUUAGUUUUUUGCACACAAAAAUAGCAAUUUCAGAUCUCUCACCUUCAGCAAAACUGCCAAGGAUCAAAGGAGCGCUUCUUCCUCGUGGAAAAUAUAGCAAAAAAUGCAAAUCCAUUUUCCUUAGCGACCAAGGUAACCUGACCUGCCGCCUUGUCCCCGCGGCCCUGCCGCAGCUACUCCCGCGGUGAAGCCGUCUGGAACAGCAGGACAGACAGCCACAGGCCACGGAGUCACGGACACUGCGUCGUUUCAAAGCCACCUCCCACCCCAUUCUUUCCCUCCCUUUCUCCUUCUCCCGCCUCCCCAUCCAAAAUCCCCAAAUCCACCGCCGCCGAAGCCAUGCCUCCGCCCCACCGGAACCCCCUCCUCGUCCUCCCCUCCGUCCUCCUCCUCCUCAUUACCUCCGCCGCCGCCCUCUCCGUCUCCACCCCCGUCGAGCUCACAGGUAAGCACGCUUCCGCCUCCCUCCCCGCCGUCGGCGCACCCAAAGCCCUAACCCUAACCCCCUCCUCUCCCCGCCAUCUCGCAGUCACCUCGCACCCGCCGGCCUCCGUCCACCUCCCGCCCGCGCGAUCCAUCUCCGGUGCCGAUGGCGGCGCAGCCGGCGGGCCCUACUGCACGCGCGUCCUCCUCAGCGGCCGCCCCUCCCGCCUCCGGGACCCGUCGCGCUUCUUCCACGCGCUUCGCCUCCGCGCCAACGCCACCCGCCCCCACGGGCUCGAGCUCUGCUUCCACCGGUAAGUGAGAUGGGAACUAAACCCCUGGCAUUUUUGGUGUAUAGCUCUAGUUAUAUAUGUUUCUUAGCCUAAUUUCGUUGUGUUGCACGCUUCGUGUUUGUAGGAAUGCCACAGUGGGGCCGUGCAAGUGCGCGGCAUCUCAGUGGCAGAAGAUGCCCAAGAGCGGGCUCUGGGUGCAAGCCAUCUCACCGUACGAUCACCGGAUUCUGGAUUUCCGAAUGCCAGCUGACCCUUCAAGGUCCGUUGUUGUGUACACUGAGGAAGGUAUGCUUUCUUCGGCUUCCUUUGUUUGAUGCAGUUCGUGCUUGGUGCUCUUUUUCUUUCCCCAAUUCUUGAUUGUGGUAUGCAUCUUUUGUUGCUGUGUUUUCAGAGUUCUUGCUCCAUAGGGUGGUGUUCUUGGUGCUGGGAUUGGUGCUGAUGGUGGUGGCACAUACAUUGAGUGAGUCUGUGGUGUUCUACUAUGGUGGAGCGAUGACGAUCGGCAUUUUCCUUGUGAUACUGAUUAUACUCUUUCAGGUGAGUUAUAUUCCUCUUCACUCUGUUCUAUAUAUGGCAAAUGAUCACUUGAGCUGAUGGUUGGUACUGGUAUUGGUGGGUGGCGUCAUUCUUGUAAGUUCAAUGGAACUAACUUACUGUCUAAUUUUCAACUGCUAGUUAGUUUCUGGAGUAUUUGAAGUGUCAUACUUAUAUGUGGAAUUGCCAAGGAAAAUCUUAUCACUUCCACUCUUUACUUAUAUGUUAUAUCACAAAAUUUCUUUGACAGGGUUUCCUCACUACUCCCUCCGUCCCAUUUUAAAUGCAUUUGUAAGAUUCAAAAUUUGUCCAAAAUUAUACGCACAACAGAGAUUCAGGGUCCAAAUAUCUCCGGCUGUGCGUUGUAUAGGUGGGUCCCAGCACAUAAAAAAUUUACUGAGCCAAACUGCCAAAGUCUGAAACGUUUCAUUGCUUAUAAUAAAAAAAGCAAGCUGAAAGGUUCUGAACCUUCUCGGUUGUUCAGCACCGCUUGUUUUCUUAUAAAAAAAAAGGCAAGCUGAAACUUGAGCACCGCUCAUUCCUUCUGAUCCUCUGGCCCCAGCCUCCCGCACCGCUCGCUCAGGGGUACUAAUGUCAUUUCCUACCAACACUAAUUUGUCCAUUCAAAUCCUACAAGUGCACUUAUACUGGGACAGAGGGAGUAUGAAAUUGGGCUUUGUAGCUUCUCUGUUUAAUUAAUUUGCUUCAGGUGGCAGUGUAGGAUAGUUAAUAUUCAUUGUUGUAUGCUAUUAUGCUACAGUCACAUAACCAUGUUUAUCGAGCUAUGUUCUGUAAGGAGUAUCCAGAUGCUUGUGGCUGUGAUUAUCUUCUGAUAGACCUGCUCUACUACAGAUAUGAAUGAACCUAAGUUUUACAUUCGAUAAUAUUGGGGACAAGGAAUGAAACAAAACCAUGAAAGUAAUGUCCUGACUCCUGAAAGGAAUAAAGGAUAUAGAUGUAGUCCAACUAAUCGAAAUGGAAAUAAUGUUUCAUUUCUUUCUUGCUUUACUAUUCUGUCAGAAAUAUCUGUUUAUAUCAAAACUUUAUAGUCCUUUCCACAUACCUUGAGUGUGAUUUUUCAUUUCUUGUCACUACGACUAAGUACAUUAUUUGAGACCAAGUUGUUUGACUUGUUGGAAUUUGCAGUGUCAAGUGCUUUAAUUAGGACCAUAUUGCUAAUUGUCAUGCUUAUAAGGCACUGCUGAUUGUUAUUUGAUUAGUUUUUUAUUUUUACGAGUGGGUGGGUGGGCUGUGUGUGCUUGAGAUGAAGUCUGGUCUUUCCUGAAUGGAGUCACUUACAUUAAGCUACUUUGUGCUAGUUAUGAUGCCUUUUAAUAAAUCUAACUUGUGACCUGUUCGUAUCAAGAGACUUCUAUUUUUACCUGUUAUCCAGUCAAUCACUUUGUGAGUACAACCUGGUUAGCUAACCCUUUUUUUCAAUCUAUCUUCUUUCAGGGAAUGAAGCUUUUACCCACUGGCAGAAAGAGUUCGCUCGCUAUUUUUGCCUACUCUACAGUUGUGAGUAUUAAUUAGACUAUUGCCUAUCGCCAAGAUUUCUACUUGAUUUUGACCUCAUGUCUCUAGAUCACUGAUUCAUGACAAUCUUUCAACAACAGGUUGGCAUGACGACAUAUUUUCUGCACUAUUUGUCGGGUCUGUUGCGCUCAGUCCUCGUGGAAAUUGGAAUUGCCGAAGACAUGCAUAAUCCUGUAUGUAAGUUCGUCAUUUGGGUUACCAUCAAUGGUCCUUUUGGUUUCUUUCAUUUUCCCCUGCAUUUACAUAUUUAUAAGGGAAUGAUGAUGACAUUUUAACAGUGGUACAAUCUUUUGUAUUGCUGCACGACUUCCCGCUUUUCUGGCUUCUGCAUUUCAUCUGCUGUUCUGUCUUAUAGACAUCUAUGAAGUACAAUUUAGUAAUACUAUAACUUUCUUGCGGCAUAUGUUUACUGAAUUACUGUGCUUGUUUUCUUGAGUUCUAUUGGGGAAUAGUCUACUCUACCUUUUCUGUCAUAGCAAAUCGAUGUGGUAACAUAAAACUGUUUACAAAGAUGGCAAUGUAUUUGUCUCAUAUUCUAUUAGUAACUUGAUAUUCAUAUCAUGACAUUAAAUUGUGGAUAAUAUUAAUGUUUAAUCAUGCAGUAAUAUUGUUCUGUUAUUUUUUCAUCAUUUUUCUUACGAUAAACUAAUGUAAAAGAUAUAUAAUUGCAGCUAGGAAUAUUCCUUCUCGUAUUGGUCGUCUUAGCUGGAGCCUGGUUUGGUUACUGGGGCGUCCGUAAACUUGUCCUGACGGAAGAUGGAUCUGUUGACGAGGGUGUGGCUUAUUUUGUUGAGUGGGCUAUCUUGAUUGUUUCAGCUGUUAUGAUCCUUCAGGUAUUCCUUGCCUACUGUCGUUUCAACAUUGUACUUGUUUGCUUAUCUGUUUAUUGACAUGCUAAUUCUUGCUUCGUCUUUCUGUAGAGUUCUCUGGACUAUCUCUUUGCCUUUGCAGCUUUGGUCUUUUGUGUUGUCAUCAAAGGAAUUGCAAGAAUUGAGGGAAAGUCAAGAUUUUUACGCUUUUUUUCACGGUAUGAUAAACUCUACUUGAUAUGUCAAAUAUCAGCUUGAUAGUUCUAAUAUUUGUUUUUUUUUGCACAUGGUUUUUGGCACAAUAUUAGAUAUACACGACCCAUCAGUUGGGGUUCAACCUGCUCAUUGGAAGUGUUGAGGUUAAGGUUAUAUGUUGGAUCAAUUUUGCUAUUAGAAGAAUACUAUUCUGUCUGUUCUUUAUUGUUGGUAUUUUCGGUGUGAAAAGGUUAACUUUUUUGGUUGAUGUUUAUACAAAUUUAAGAAGAUGCCUCAACUGUCCAUACCUUAUUUACUAUUUAGACCAUGUUUCUAAUGCUGGAAUGGUUUCCAUUUACUUUGGAAUUGAACUCUUACAACACUUUAUUGAAAUUUCUUCAAAGCUGUUGCAGAUUUUCCAAAUGGAGUGUACACUAUUGUAUAGGACCCAGUCUUUUGCUUCACUGGUCACUAGGAUUAAAGACGUGUAACUUAGGAUAUAAGCACAUUGAAUCAGAUAGCAGUACUCCUUCCGUUUAACAGACUUCAUAGGACCACACGUUCUUU
Molecule: long non-coding RNA, 25527 nt
Filed under: Setaria italica (foxtail millet)
Lineage: Eukaryota; Viridiplantae; Streptophyta; Magnoliopsida; Poales; Poaceae
Description: long non-coding RNA (SITA_LNC007071)
Source: RNAcentral